RNAcentral lists this transfer RNA (73 nucleotides) under Cordylochernes scorpioides. Its description in RNAcentral is "tRNA-Thr". Lineage: Eukaryota; Metazoa; Arthropoda; Arachnida; Pseudoscorpiones; Chernetidae. The record is from RNAcentral.
UGUCAAGGGAUGGGAAUCGAACCCACGACCUUCCGCUACGGGCAGAUGCCAUGACCACUAGGCUACCCUGGAC